UACAUAGGGAGCGAGCGUUAUCCGGAUUUAUUGGGCGUAAAGCGCGCGUAGGCGGUUCUGUAAGUUAGGUGUUAAAGCCAUCGGCUCAACCGAUGACCGCACUUAAGACUGCAGUGCUAGAGUUUGGGAGAGGGAAGGGGAACUAACAGUGUAGCGGUGAAAUGCGUAGAUAUUGUUAGGAACACCAGUGGCGAAGGCGCCUUCCUGGACCAAAACUGACGCUAAAGUGCGAAAGCGUGGGGAGCAAACAGG
RNAcentral lists this ribosomal RNA (252 nucleotides) under uncultured bacterium. RNAcentral describes it as "partial 16S ribosomal RNA". It matches the Rfam family "Bacterial small subunit ribosomal RNA", at positions 524 to 776 of the family's 1533-position model. The record is from RNAcentral.